RNAcentral lists this ribosomal RNA (492 nucleotides) under uncultured bacterium. RNAcentral describes it as "partial 16S ribosomal RNA". It matches the Rfam family "Bacterial small subunit ribosomal RNA", at positions 29 to 507 of the family's 1533-position model. The record is from RNAcentral.
AGUGAACGCUGGCGGUAGGCCUAACACAUGCAAGUCGAACGGCAGCACAGUAAGAGCUUGCUCUUACGGGUGGCGAGUGGCGGACGGGUGAGGAAUACAUCGGAAUCUACUUUUUCGUGGGGGAUAACGUAGGGAAACUUACGCUAAUACCGCAUACGACCUACGGGUGAAAGCAGGGGAUCUUCGGACCUUGCGCGAUUGAAUGCGCCGAUGUCGGAUUAGCUAGUUGGCGGGGUAAAGGCCCACCAAGGCGACGAUCCGUAGCUGGUCUGAGAGGAUGAUCAGCCACACUGGAACGGAGACACGGUCCAGACUCCUACGGGAGGCAGCAGUGGGGAAUAUUGGACAAUGGGCGCAAGCCUGAUCCAGCCAUACCGCGUGGGUGAAGAAGGCCUUCGGGUUGUAAAGCCCUUUUGUUGGGAAAGAAAAGCAGCAGGUUAAUACCCCGCUGUUCUGACGGUACCCAAAGAAUAAGCACCGGCUAACUUCGUG